Molecule: transfer RNA, 87 nt
Filed under: Chloroflexota bacterium
Lineage: Bacteria; Bacillati; Chloroflexota
Also listed under: 3 other names
Description: Chloroflexi bacterium tRNA-Leu
Rfam family: tRNA
About the family: Transfer RNA (tRNA) molecules are approximately 80 nucleotides in length. Their secondary structure includes four short double-helical elements and three loops (D, anti-codon, and T loops).
Source: RNAcentral
GCCGAAGUGGCGGAAUGGCAGACGCGCUACGUUCAGGGCGUAGUGUCCAUAACGGGCGUGAGAGUUCAAAUCUCUCCUUCGGCACCA